GUAGGUGGCAAGCGUUGUCCGGAAUUAUUGGGCGUAAAGCGCGCGCAGGUGGUUCUUUAAGUCUGAUGUGAAAGCCCCCGGCUCAACCGGGGAGGGUCAUUGGAAACUGGGGAACUUGAGUGCAGGAGAGGAAAGUGGAAUUCCACGUGUAGCGGUGAAAUGCGUAGAUAUGUGGAGGAACACCAGUGGCGAAGGCGACUUUCUGGCCUGUAACUGACACUGAGGCGCGAAAGCGUGGGGAGCAAACAGGGAUUAGACACCCUGGUAGUCCACGCCGUAAACGAUGAGUGCUAAGUGUUGGGGGGGUUUCCCGCCCCUCAGUGCUGCAGCUAACGCAUUAAGCACUCCGCCUGGGGAGUACGGUCGCAAGACUG
This 374-nucleotide ribosomal RNA is filed under the name uncultured organism. Its description in RNAcentral is "partial 16S ribosomal RNA". It matches the Rfam family "Bacterial small subunit ribosomal RNA", at positions 527 to 896 of the family's 1533-position model. The record is from RNAcentral.